The sequence is a ribosomal RNA, 294 nucleotides long. It matches the Rfam family "Bacterial large subunit ribosomal RNA", at positions 1 to 298 of the family's 2925-position model.
GUUAUAUGGUCAAGCGAUGAAGCGCAUACGGUGGAUGCCUAGGCAGCCAGAGGCGAUGAAAGACGUUGUAGCCUGCGAUAAGGCUCGGUGAGGUGGCAAACAACCUAGGACCCGGGCAUUUCUGAAUGGGGAAACCCACCCAGCAUCAGCUGGGUAUCCCACCCUGAAUUCAUAGGGGUUGGGAGGCGAACCGGGGGAACUGAAACAUCUAAGUACCCCGAGGAAAAGAAAUCAACCGAGAUUCCCUCAGUAGCGGCGAGCGAACGGGGACUAGCCCUUAAGUCAAUGCACGGU